AUGGCCUCCCGCGUCUCCCUCUCGGCGUCUUCUUCCUCGGGUGACUCCACACCGGCGCGCCCCCGUCCCCAGUUGCGCUCCACCGUCGUUGUGCCGGACGUCCUCGGCACCGCCUUCGGGCCAAUCGUGCAUGGCGGGUCGUCCGGAUCCGGUGGCCCGCUGCGUUGCCGGCCCGAGGUUCUCCGUCCUGUUCCGGCACGCGAUGUGCGCCUUCCUGCUGUGGAGAUUGUGGAUGAUGAUGGGGUGGAGUGUUGCUUCUUGGAGGAAGGCGAGGACUUGUGGCAGAUGGAGGUUGAGCUGUCGAGGGCAGUGCUCGUCACCGUCACUGGCAGCAGGCCUACCAUGGAUUUGGCCUCCGCCGCGACGGCGCUGCACGUGGAGUUCGGCAUCGGGCCUGAGGACAUGUCCGUCCGGGCCUUCCAGCCGGAGGAUUUCUUGGUCUUGUGCCAGAGACAGUCUACGCGCGACAGGAUGGUUCGGCAGGGCGGACUCUCUCCCUCGUCGCCGGCCGGCUUCUCGCUGUCCCUGCGGCUGUGGAUUCGGCAGGCACAGGCCACGGCUGCCUCCCUGUCCUACCUGGUGCCUCUCAAGCUCGUCGGCGUGCCGGCGCACGCGUGGACUAGGAGAACUGUGGAUUCGGUGCUGUGUGGUCUGGGUCUGGUUGUUGGCAUCGCGAGAGCACGGCGAGACGGCACGACAUGUCCGGGUUCAAGCGGCCAGGAUCAGCCUGGCACCUGCCAAAGUGCCCUAGGCGUGGCUUUGACCGUGGACGUGGAGGGAAGGCCUGUGGACCAGGACUUCCAGCUGGGAAGGGUGGAUGCCAUGGAGAGCGUGCCAGAUUCUUCCAGACCGGGCCAACCCGUGUCGUCCUGCGUGUCGGGACAGGGUAGCGACCAUGCAGAGGGGAUGGGGAGAACAUGUGUUUAUGUUCAUCAUGUGGAUAAAGAGGCCUUUUUGAAAGGCAAUGUUGAGACGGACCCGGAUGAGCUUGACAUGGUGUUUGAGAGUAGUCCUAGCUAUGCGAAGCUUUUGAAACAAGUGAGGAAAGAUUUGAAUUGGAUGGACCCAAGUGACGUUGUUGAGUUCGAGGGAAGGCAUAAUGUUGGUUUAGGAAUGCACAUCCGUUGGAAGACAAUGCGUGUGAACUCCGAGCAAUGUUGGGUUGCAUACAAGGAGACGGUUGCUGAAUCUCUAGACAAAACUCUUGAGUUAUUUGCCUCCAAGAAGGUUGAGUCUACUUUGAAUUUAGACUUGAACCGGAACCCCUCCCCGUUGGUUGCUAGCACUCCCCCACCCAUGAACCAAGAUCAAAUGAGUGAACCUCAAUUCACGCAAGAAGAUUGGCCAACAUUGAGCCCGACUCCAAACAACCAAAAUGAAGGUUUUGAAGGGGAGAAUGAUGAGUACGAGGAGGAUGACAACGAAGUUGACCUCCAUGACAACAAUGUGGGUGAUCUCGACCAAUAUCAUGUGCAAGAGACAAUGGACCAAUCCAUCCCUUUUUCCCGUGCAUAUGCAUCAGACUCGGAUGACGAUGGUCCUGAUGAAGAAGUUGAUGAGGAGGGGUUCACACCAAAGGAGGCCGAAGCAUUCAAGAAGGUAUUCGGGCAGGAUCACAAGACACCAUUGUUCAAGGAUCUUAGUCUCGCGGAUGAAGCCGUUGUGGAUGGUGGAAAAUGCAUAUCUCUUGGAGCUAGGCCAAGUUCUCACCGUGAUUUGGAAGACGGCAAGAACGGGAUAUAUCCCGGUUGUGAAUUUCAAUCCUUCUUGGAAUUGAAGAUGUGGCUCGACAACUACUCGGUUACACAUUAUCGUCCACAUAAAGUGGCCAACUCGGACGUGAAUGUGCGUUACACGGUCAAAUGUGAAGUGCCAACAUGUCCAAACUGA
Molecule: ribosomal RNA, 1890 nt
Filed under: Triticum aestivum (bread wheat)
Lineage: Eukaryota; Viridiplantae; Streptophyta; Magnoliopsida; Poales; Poaceae
Description: partial small subunit ribosomal RNA
Source: RNAcentral